CUGGUGACAACUUUAGGCUUCACCCAAGUGCAGUCCGUCCCACUCUGGGCUCCCAGUUCCGGGAGAUGAGGGGCUCCCCGACUGUGGAGUUCUCUAGAUGUGGGAGAAUAGUGAUGUCCCCACGGCUAGACAUCAUUUGUCACCUCAAAGUGCAAAGAAGCCACAAGCCAUCAGGAUGAGCACUGUCUGGUUGGUCCACGGAAGUCAUUCCCAAGGGCAAGGUGCACUCAUCUAAUGACUUUGUGAAUGCCGUUAUGUCUCAGACACUACUCUCACCACUGAGAGUAAGAGAUGAACAAGGGGCGCCUGGGUGGCUCAGUCGUUAAAGCGUCUACCUUCGGCUCAGGUCACGAUCCCAGGGUCCUGGGAUCGAGUCCCACAUUGGGCUCCCUGCUCGGCGGGAAGCCUGCUUCUCCCUCUCCCACUCUCCCUGCUUGUGUUCCCUCUCUCGCUGUGUCUCUCUCUGUCAAAUAAAUAAAUAAAAUAUUUUUUCAAAAAAGAGAGAGAUGAGAAAGACAGGACCUUGGGGCUGGUUUUGUUGGAAGGGUUGUGGGUGAGGAUCAGAUUUCUGGCUGAGGUCCCUGUGCAGAUGAUGGACUUGCUCCUUGCCAUGGGGAACACCUGUGGAGAAGCAGGUUUACGUGGAAGUCAAGGCUAUCAGUUUUGGACACAUCGAUGGGGCCUUCUGGUAGAUAUCCAGGGAGAGAACAGGCUGGAGGUGGUCAACUGGCCCCCUGCUUGCACCCCACACCCUUCCCGCCCGGCCGCGGUGCCGGCCACAGCUCUGCUCAGGAUCUGCAAGCACCUCCCAACUCCAGGUGAAACACCUCGAUUACUACGCAUUAUGUUGCAGUACACAUGGGGGGGGGGCAUAGACAUCCCUGCAAGGUCCACGAUCCUGUUUUCACUGGUUCCAGAUAUAGCCUCAGAAGCGGAUUGCUGGAUCAUACAGUGAUUCUACUUCUAGUUUUCUGAGGACCUUCCAUACUGGUUUCCGGAGUGGCUGCACCAGUCUGCAUUCCCAUCAACCCUGGGACGAGAUGCCGGAGGACCAGCCCCUCUGAUGCCAGAGGCGUCCUUCAGUGUAGGAGGGGUCCCCUUUCUCUGCAUCCUCGCCAACAUCUGUUGUUUCUUGUGUUACUAAUUUUAGCCAUUCUGACUGGGGUGAGGUGAUAUCUCACCCUUGAAUAAUGUGGAACUUAGAGCCUCUGACUUCUGCAUUGUUGAAAGUCUGCAUGUGCCUUCUGACUCCCCAUAACUUAACUACCAAUAACCCAUAGUUGACAGGAAGCCUUACCGAUUACAUAAACAUUCGGUGAUCACAUAUUUUGUAUGUUAUGCGCAUCAUACACUGCGUUCUUACAAGAAAGUAAGCUAGAGAAAAGAAAAUGUCAUUCAGAAAGUCCCAAGGGAGAGAAAAGACACUUACAGUAGCAGUAUUUAUUGAAAAAAAUCCACAGCUGUUCAAACCUGCAUUCUUCAAGGGUCAACCAUAUACUAAUUACCUUGAGGACAUUAUGGGAUGAUGUGAGAUAAGUCAGAGAAAGACAAAUACUGUGUACUCUCAUUUACUGUGGAAUCUAAAAAAGCCAAACUUGUAAAAACAAAGAGUAAAGUGACGGUCAUCAGGGGCUGGGAGGCAUGGGACAAGGAGAUGAUGUGGGACGACCUUGGCAUCAGCAGUAAAUAAAUCCUGGAGAUCUAAUGCACAGUACAGUGAACACAGGCCCCAAUGCUGUAUCCUAACCAUUAUAGCUGCUAAGAGACCAGAUGCUUAUUACUCCCAGCACAAUAAAAAGCAAUGAUAAGGGGCGCCUGGGUGGCUCAGUUGGUUGAGCGACUGCCUUCGCUCAGGUCGUGAUCCUGGAGUCCCGGGAUCGAGUCCUGCAUCGGGCUCCCUGCUCGGCGGGGAGUCUGCUUCUCCCUCUGACCCUCCCCCCUCUCGUGUGCUCUCUCUCAUUCU
This is a long non-coding RNA of Mirounga angustirostris (Northern elephant seal), 1963 nucleotides long. RefSeq lists it as uncharacterized. The transcript has 3 exons. Lineage: Eukaryota; Metazoa; Chordata; Mammalia; Carnivora; Phocidae. The record is from RefSeq and is a predicted model, not a curated record.